RNAcentral lists this ribosomal RNA (1212 nucleotides) under metagenome. RNAcentral's name for it is "SSU rRNA". It matches the Rfam family "Eukaryotic small subunit ribosomal RNA", at positions 558 to 1793 of the family's 1831-position model. The record is from RNAcentral.
AGUCUGGUGCCAGCAGCCGCGGUAAUUCCAGCUCCAAUAGCAUAUAUUAAAGUUGUUGCAGUUAAAAAGCUCGUAGUUGGAUAUCGGGCGCGUGCGCAUGGUCAACCGAAAGGUGUGCACUGUGUCUGCGCGCGUCCUCUUUCCGUAGGCCGCGUGUGCCCUUAACUGGGUGUGCGCGGAAUGCGGAUCGUUUACUUUGAAUAAAUUAGAGUGUUCAAAGCAGGCUUUCGCUUGAAUACAUUAGCAUGGAAUAAUGGAAUAGGACUUUGGUUCUAUUUUGUUGGUUUCUAGGACCGAGGUAAUGAUUAAUAGGGAUAGUUGGGGGCAUUAAUAUUUAAUUGUCAGAGGUGAAAUUCUUGGAUUUAUGAAAGAUUAACUUCUGCGAAAGCAUUUGCCAAGGAUGUUUUCAUUAGUCAAGAACGAAAGUUAAGGGAUCGAAGAUGAUUAGAUACCGUCGUAGUCUUAACCAUAAACUAUGCCGACUAGGGAUUGGGGGAUGUUUUUCAUGACGCCCUCAGCACCUUCAGAGAAAUCAAAGUCUUUGGGUUCCGGGGGGAGUAUGGUCGCAAGGCUGAAACUUAAAGGAAUUGACGGAAGGGCACCACCAGGCGUGGAGCCUGCGGCUUAAUUUGACCCAACACGGGAAAACUUACCAGGUCCAGACAUAGUAAGGAUUGACAGAUUGAGAGCUCUUUCUUGAUUCUAUGGGUGGUGGCGCAUGGCCGUUCUUAGUUGGUGGAGUGAUUUGUCUGGUUAAUUCCGUUAACGAUCGAGACCUUAGCCUGCUAAAUAGUUACGCCAAGCUCUGCUUGUGCGGGCAACUUCUUAGAGGGACUAUCGGUGUCUAACCGGAGGAAGUUUGAGGCAAUAACAGGUCUGUGAUGCCCUUAGAUGUUCUGGGCCGCACGCGCGCUACACUGAAAGCAUCAACGAGUAUAUAACCUUGACCGGUAGGUCUGGGUAAUCUUUUGAAACCCUUUCGUGCUGGGGAUUGAUGGUUGCAAUUUUCCAUCAUGAACGAGGAAUGCCUAGUAAGCGCAGGUCAUCAGCCUGCGUUGAUUACGUCCCUGCCCUUUGUACACACCGCCCGUCGCUCCUACCGAUUGGAUGGUCCGGUGAGACUUCCGGACCGCGGCGCCCACGGAGGUUCGCCACCGAGGGUGCUGCGGGAAGUUAUUCAAACCUUAUCAUCUAGAGGAAGGAGAAGUCGUA